CAGUAGCCGCGGUAAAACGGAGGGUGCAAGCGUUAAUCGGAAUUGCUGGGCGUAAAGCGCACGCAGGCGGUUUGUUAAGUCAGAUGUGAAAUCCCCGAGCUUAACUUGGGAACUGCAUUUGAAACUGGCAAGCUAGAGUCUUGUAGAGGGGGGUAGAAUUCCAGGUGUAGCGGUGAAAUGCGUAGAGAUCUGGAGGAAUACCGGUGGCGAAGGCGGCCCCCUGGACGAAGACUGACGCUCAGGUGCGAAAGCGUGGGGAGCAAACAGGAUUAGAUACCCCUGUGUCCCUGUCUCUUAUACA
Molecule: ribosomal RNA, 301 nt
Filed under: uncultured bacterium
Lineage: Bacteria
Description: partial 16S ribosomal RNA
Rfam family: Bacterial small subunit ribosomal RNA
Source: RNAcentral